GCUGGGCAUGGUGGUGCGUCUAUAGUCAGCUGCUCAGGAGGCAGGAGGAUCACUUGAGUCCAGGAGUUCUGGGCUGCAGUACGCUCUGCCAAUCAGGUGUCCACACUGUUUAAGCAUCAAUAUGUGACCUUCCAGGAGCAGGGGACCACUGGGUUGCCUAAGGAGGAUAAAACUAGCCCAGGUUGGAAAAAGAGCAGAUCAAAACUCCUGUUCUGAUCAGUGGUGCACGCAUCUGUGAAUAGCCACUGCACUCCAGCCUGGGCAACAUAGCGAGACCCCAU
Molecule: signal recognition particle RNA, 281 nt
Filed under: Microcebus murinus (gray mouse lemur)
Lineage: Eukaryota; Metazoa; Chordata; Mammalia; Primates; Cheirogaleidae
Description: Metazoan signal recognition particle RNA (ENSMICG00000031894.2)
Rfam family: Metazoan signal recognition particle RNA
About the family: The signal recognition particle (SRP) is a universally conserved ribonucleoprotein. It is involved in the co-translational targeting of proteins to membranes.
Source: Rfam by way of RNAcentral